GGUUGUUAUGAUACACAGCUUUAAAUAAAUUUUUGAUAACUGUUCAGACAUUUUAUUGGGUCUUACAAGUUCAAACUAAUAUUUGAAACAUAACCAUGUGUGAAAUAUAGAUAAGGAUGGUUUAAUAUUGGUAAAUAGCAUUAUGCUAUCUAAUAAUUAUGCAAAAUAUAAUGUAUUAGUUUAAAAAGUUAUGUGAAAAAAGUCCAAAAUCGAAGAGGUACAUAUAUAAUGAAUCUGAUGAAAAAUGAAAUUUAGAUGAAAGUGACAUGUCAAAAUAAACGGUCAGUGAAUAUGUUGUGCAAAUGAAUUAGUUAAAUAUCAUUAAUAUUCUUAAAACAACUAAUAACAAGAGGCUCUCAAGAGCCUGUAUCGCUCACCUGUAAAUUUUGGCUUAAAUCUUUCAUCAAUGAUUAUUUUUGAAUUUCAAUAUAUAUCAAUGAGUGCUUAAAAUUGACACAUAACAGUUUGUAUCUUUCAUAUUUUCUUCAAUUUUAAGCAAAAAACUGCAUUUGACCCCUAUGUUUUAUUUUUAGCCAUAGCGGCCAUGUUUGUAGAAAGAUCAAAAUUUCGGAUAUAAUUUAUAAACUAGAUACUCUAAGGAACAUUCAUUUUAAGUUUGGAAGCAUUUGGCCCAGUAGUUUCAGAGAAGAUGAUUUUAAAAUGUUCACAAAUAAGAUGAACAAAUUGUGUAAAAUUGUCUUUAAAGGGCAACAACUCCUUAAGGGGUCAAUUGACAAUUUUGGUCAAAUUACUUUUUGGUAGAUUUUACUUUGCUGAACAUUUUUGCUGUUACAGUUUAUCUUUAUCUUCAAUAAUAUUCAAGAUAAUGACCAAAAACUGCAAAAUUUCAUUAAAAUGACCAAUUAUUAAAAGUGGCAGCAACCCAACAAUGGGUUGUUUGAUUAUUCUGAAAAUUUCAGGGCUGAUAGAUCUGGACCUAUUGAACAUUUAUACCCUAUGACAAAUUUGCUCUAAAUGCUUAAGUUUUUGAGAUAUAAGCCAAAAACUGCAUUUGACCCCUAUGUUCUAUUUUUAGCCAUGGCGGCCAUGUUUGUUCAUGGAUCAAAACUUCGGAUACAAUUAAUUAACUAGAUACUCCAAGGAACAUUCAAUUAAAGUUGGAAGUAUUUGGCCCAGUAGUUUCACAGGAGAAGAUCUUUGAAAUAGUUUACAACUGACGACCACAGACAACGAUGGACCACGACGGACGACGACUGACGCCAAGUGAUGGCAUAAGCUCACAUGGCCCUUUGGGCCAGGAGAGCUAAAAUACCUGACAGACAAGGACCCAUCUUUUGGCCCCUCGAAAUACCCCUAAAUAGACCCCAAUACACAAACGAAGCUCCCCUAGACAUAUUAGUCUAACAUUUUAUGGGCAAAAACAAUAAGUCAUCAAACUUUGUUUGGGAGACUAAGAUAUUAAUAAAGAAUAUCUCCUGAUAUGUUAUACUAGAUAAAUUACCUAGAAAUUAAUCAUAUACAAAUAAGAAGCCUUUUAAAAUCAACAAAAUAAGUUUAAAGGUGUUUUGUUUAAAAUGAAUACAAAGGCCUUUGUAUUUGGUAUGAGGAAAAAUAUGACAAUCAAAUUUGAAGUUAUGGACUGGUAAAAAUUUCUCAAGGCAUGGGACUGGUGCAAAAUUAAAAUGAGCUAUAAUAAAAGUUGAAGUCCCAUGGUUAUACAGAUGAAAAAAUGUUGAUGUCCCAUUCUUUUUUGCAACAAAAAAACUUGGUGUCCCAUGUUAAUUCAUAAAGUAUAUCAAAGAUGUCUUUUGCUCCAGACAGCAUACAUCAUUCAAAUAAAACUGACAUGUGAUGUGAUGACAGUGCUGUUAAAAUGUGUUGCAAAAUUGUUUAAGACAGCCAUGUUUAACAGGUUAAGUAACUUCAUAUUUUGUAAGGAUUAAUGAAACUCCAAGUUAAUUUUAAAAAGUUAUAGAAAUUUUUAAAGGUAACAAUCUGAAUUAUAAAGUCUGA
RNAcentral lists this long non-coding RNA (1974 nucleotides) under Mytilus galloprovincialis (Mediterranean mussel). The record is from RNAcentral. Lineage: Eukaryota; Metazoa; Mollusca; Bivalvia; Mytilida; Mytilidae.